AACGAACGCUGGCGGCAGGCCUAACACAUGCAAGUCGAACGAGAAGCCACCUUCGGGUGGUGGACAGUGGCAGACGGGUGAGUAACGCGUGGGAACGUGCCUUUCGGUUCGGGAUAACCCAGGGAAACUUGGGCUAAUACCGGAUACGCCCUCCGGGGGAAAGAUUCAUUGCCGAAAGAUCGGCCCGCGUCGGAUUAGCUAGUUCGGUGGGGUAAAAGCCUACCAAGGCGACGAUCCGUAGCUGGUCUGAGA
RNAcentral lists this ribosomal RNA (252 nucleotides) under uncultured bacterium. RNAcentral's name for it is "partial 16S ribosomal RNA". It matches the Rfam family "Bacterial small subunit ribosomal RNA", at positions 29 to 297 of the family's 1533-position model. The record is from RNAcentral.